GGGCCUGUAGCUCAAUUGGUAGAGCAUCCGCCUUGCACGCGGAAGGUCAGCGGUUCAAAUCCGCUCAGGUCCA
This 73-nucleotide transfer RNA is filed under the name Parcubacteria group bacterium CG08_land_8_20_14_0_20_38_56. RNAcentral describes it as "tRNA-Ala". It matches the Rfam family "tRNA". Rfam says of the family: Transfer RNA (tRNA) molecules are approximately 80 nucleotides in length. Their secondary structure includes four short double-helical elements and three loops (D, anti-codon, and T loops). Further hydrogen bonds mediate the characteristic L-shaped molecular structure. tRNAs have two regions of fundamental functional importance: the anti-codon, which is responsible for specific mRNA codon recognition, and the 3' end, to which the tRNAs corresponding amino acid is attached (by aminoacyl-tRNA synthetases). tRNAs cope with the degeneracy of the genetic code in two manners: having more than one tRNA (with a specific anti-codon) for a particular amino acid; and 'wobble' base-pairing, i.e. permitting non-standard base-pairing at the 3rd anti-codon position. The record is from RNAcentral.